Molecule: long non-coding RNA, 6460 nt
Filed under: Sus scrofa (pig)
Lineage: Eukaryota; Metazoa; Chordata; Mammalia; Artiodactyla; Suidae
Description: lncRNA (ENSSSCG00000063220.1)
Source: RNAcentral
GGGAUCUAACCCACUUCCCAGAGUUCUCACUGUGGCCCAAAGGGAUCUGUGGUGUCUUGGGAGUGGUAUGACUCCAAUUUGAUGCCUGGCCAGGCACAGUGGGUUAAGGAUCCAACAUUGCUGCAGCUGCUGUUUAGGUUGCAACUGCAACUUGGAUGGAUCUGACCCCUGUCCCAGGAUUUCCAAAUGGCUGGAGAUUACCAAAAAAGAACACUUGUCCCCACCCCACCCUCCAGUUCCCAGUACUCCAGAGACACUGCAAAUCCCAUUUCCUAAUCUUUUUUUUUUUUUGGCUGCACAUGCAGCAUGUGGAAGUUCCUGGGCCAGGGAUCAAACCUGUGCUACAGCAGUGACCUGAGCUGCUGCAGUAACAAUGCCAGAUCCUUAACCCACUGCACCGCAAUGGAACUCCACUAAGGUUUUUUAUAUUGUAACUUUCAAUUUUAUUUUAUUUUAGGGGAAGAGAAAUAUAUAUUUUAUUAUUAAUUCUUCGAAUGAUAUGAAGCAUCUGAAAAGUCAUCAAUUUAACCAACUUGGAAAUUAGGCACCAUUUGAAAAAUUAAUUUGAUAUAUUCACACAUCACCAAUACUUUUUAAUAAAAGGGAAAAGAAGAGAAAUAAAAGGAUCCAAUAAGAUAUUCCCCAAACUUCUACUGUCUUAAUAAAAUUAAGAAAAAUCCACUUCUGUUGGGAAUGCUAUUGUGGGAGACCCUGAGAAGUCUUCUGUGUGGGCCUGGAGAUCCUCUGGAACCACAGUUUCCUGGGAAAUAAAUGGAAUAGUGACCAUCGCAUUUUUUCCAUCAACACACGGCAUCAAGGUCUUUAUGUGCUUUCUAAAAACAGGCUGAAUUACUAUAAUGGUGGAAGAGAACACGUACUGUCCAAUGACUAGUGAUGAAAUGAUCUCUAUUUAAAAAUUGUGUCUUCUAGCUUUCCAUUUUUAUAUAGAAUAAGAUAAAACCUGCCUUCCUUGUUCCUUAGAGCCCCAGGGGAGGUGAAUCAUUAUGAUCCAUGACUCCCGUUUGUAAUAAAGCAUGAAGAGGAUUAAGAUCAGAUUUUCCCUUUGAUGGAAGCUGCAGAUAAAACCCUGUUUCUUGCUCUCCUUCAUCCUUCAAAUAGGCCAAGGAAUAUCUGUAGCUUACACUGGACAACAUCUCUGACUCCUUCUGCCUUCAGAUGACAGCUAGGCAUUGGCUUGGCACUGAAUCUGGUGAAUUAUGUAAAAGUCAAAUUGUAUGUUUGCUUUUUUGUGUCCUGAAAUUUUUUAUUAUUCUGAAAAUAAUAAGUAUGGUCAGGUUUAGACAGGUAAGACAGUCCAUGUUUGACAGAUCUGCAGUACAUAAAUCAACUUUUGGAUUCCUGUCAAACACUUUAGAGAAUGUGCAAAAUUUUGUGUGCAUGUACUAUAUUAGUUUUUCUAGGAAAAUGUCUGUCAUGUUAUUAUAUCUUUAAGGGUAUCUGAGCUGUAAAUAAAUAAGUAAAAAUAAAUUAAGCGCUGAUAUAACAAAAAAGGGAGGCAAUCUACAGAAGGAACACAACACAAUUACCAAAAAGAGAUAUAGCAAUAUAGCAAGAAUGUACUUGAUGAAAAAAGUAUCUGUAAAAACCAAACUAGGAGUUCCUGUCUUGGCUCAGUGGGUUAUGCAGCCAACUAGUAUCACUGAGGAUGCAGGUUCAAUCCCUGGCAUUGAUCAGUAGGUUAAGGAUCCUGUGUUGCCAAGAGUUAUGUUGUAGGUCUCAGACUUGGUUUGGAUCCCACUUUGCUGUGGCUGUGGUGUAGGCCAGCAGCUGCAGCUCCGAUUUGAUCCCAGCCUGGGAACUUCCAUAUGCCACAGGUGUGGCCCUAAAAAGACCAAAACAAACAAACAAACAAAAACCAAAGAAAAAAAAGAAAGAAAAGAAAAGAAAAACAACAACAAACAAAAAAAGCCCCCCAAAACCGCAAAAAAAAACUGACCCCCCACAAUAAAAUAUGAUCCUUUGAGUAUUUCCUAUUUAUAGAAAAAUUGAGAAAGUGAUCUUAAAAAGUAAAAUGUAGUCAUAACUUUUCAGUGUUUUUCCUACAUUUUGUUUAGAGAAGAAAUUUUUAACCCAAUAACUCAAGGAUCUAACCAUAAAAGGUUACAUACAGUGGACAUUGCUUGAAGAUACCAACAUAAAAAUAGUCUAACUCUCCCUUCUCUGUGUCCAUACUGACCAAAUAAUGUGAUAAUUUAUCUUUCAGUGUAAAUAAAUACACCCACAGGUAGACAGUUUAUUGCUUAACAAAUAUGAGUAUUUGCUUUCUUUGGUAGUUGAACUUCUCAAUGUAUAUUAAUAAACUGGCAUCUGAUUUAUAUAUUCUUCCAUGAAUUUGGUUAGUAUCACUCUGUUCCAAAGGUGAUCUUUUCCUAUCUCAGUCUAUUCUACCUGAAACACAAAUGAUAUAUUCAGGGUCUAAUAAUUCAUGUUAAUAGAGCUUUCCUGAAAGUCUUUUCUGCUUUCCAAAGAAUGAUACUGUCAUGGAACAAUUGUUCACUAAGGUCUUGUAAAUAGCUUUUUAAAAGCUUAGACUAUGUAUAGAAUUUAUAAUUGUGGGUCAGCAUCUCAGAUUUUGGAGGGGCUUCAGAAAAUGAAAAAAAAUUAAUAUUUAAAUAUUUAAGUAGAUUAACUCAUUGGAUUAAAUACUGGAAGUUAUUCUUAACGCAUGCUGUUUUUUUUGUAAUCCAAUAGACAAUAUUUAAGGUGAUUUGUCAGGGUUUUCUAAGGCUCUAAAGAACCCUGAGUAGAUAGAAAAUAUAAGCUCAGUCAAAUGCUGUGAUCUUCUAGGAAGUGCCUUUUAUCUGAAAAAAAAAAAAAUUUCCUGGAUUAUUGGAUGCUAAUGACUAAUGUGGUUCUAUUUAGGAAAAUAGGUGAGCUAUCUGGGAAAGAUUAGAUGCAAGGGAAAGUAAACUUGAUAGUAAACUUGAUAAGGGAGUGGGCAGCCAGGCAUUGUGACACCUGCACUUCAGCAGACAAACUUGAGCCAUAUUAUUUAGGCCUUGUCAUCUGACCUAUGUUGGUAGUGAUCAAUGUAUCAUUUAAAGAAUACUUUCUUACAUUCAAAGAAGAGGUACAAUAAUAAUAUAAAAAGAUUCAAAUGAAAUAAAAAUAGAAUAGUCAUUCAUGGUUAAUAAAGGUAAUCAAAUUUAUUAUCAUACUUGUGUGCAUAUUUUUACACCAUGCAGCAUAGACUGAUUCUUUUUUUUGUCUUUUUUUUUUUUUUGUUUUUUUUUUUUUUUUUUUUUUUUUAGGGCUGCACCUGUGGUUCUCAGGCUAGGGGUCCAGUUGGAGCUGUAGUUGCUGGCCUAUGCCACAGCAAUACCAUAUCUGAGCCAUGUCUGUGACCUACACCACAGCUCAUGGCAAUGCUGGAUCCUCGACCCGCUGGGUGAGGACAGCGAUCGAACCUGCGUUCUCAUGGAUGCUAGUCGGAUCCAUUUCCCGCCAAGCCACAACAGGAACUUGGGUCUGCUUCUUUACUUACGUUGGUGGUCACUUACAUUAACAUGCAGCAAAAAAAAUUCUAAGACCAACAACAUCUUAAUACCACUACAGUUGAAAUGACUCAUAAAACUGUUGCAAUUCCUUUUUUUAAAUAAGAAGAGUUAUGACACAUUUGAGUAGUCUAUCUAACAUUUUUAAACUUUACUUAAGUCUCAAAAUGUAGGUUUCAGAAUAUACCUAAGAAUUGGCUACUUAGCUUCUUGGGGUGAUAACUUUGUCCAUGUGGCUUCCAUCUAAGAGAAGAAAAACACUGAUUCUCUAACAUCUUGGUCUAAGAGCACACUUACGUCAAGUUUCUGGACAUACAUGAUCCAUCAGUUUCUGAGGGACCUUAAGAGAGAGAAAUGUUUUGUGCUGAAUAGAUGCAGACAGGGUGGAACAACUAUACUGAAGUGGUACAGUUAAUGUCUUUUAUGUUCACGACUGAUAACUUGAUUACCUGCUUCAUUCUGACAUUCUGUUCCAUCUCAUGCAUGAGAGCUGGUGUCACAGAGGGCAUCAUGCCUGGUCCAGUGGUGAUUAUUUCCUGAAAUGAACAUACAAGAAAUGAACAAAACAAGCAUUGAGGAAAUCAUAAGCCAGAACAUUAGUGUCUCCUGAAGUAAAGUGAAAAAACAAUGGAUGAUUUAUACCCAAUUAGCAAGAGGAGAUGACUGCUCAUUUCUUUAUUUAGUCAGAUAUUGACUGAAUGAUGACUUAAUACCUAGACUUUUUUUUAUAUACUAGUCCAGAACAUUCGCCCAAUUACUCCAGAAAUGCUUAUUGAGAUUUUAUUAUCCAAGGUAGUCAUUUACCUAGGACUGUAAACUUCCAGAAGGCAGAGUGUAAGGAAAGCCUCAUGAGGCAAUGCUUUUAGCAUAAGCACAAGUCAUUUUAUGUUUUAAGAUGAUGAUCACGAUGAUGAUUCUGAUGAUGGAAAAUAUUCAAAAAUUCUCUUAAAAUACAAUGUUGAGAAAUGAUAUGAGUGGAAGUGAAAAAUAAAGCAGCACACUUAGUUUUAUAUUAUUUUGUAGGAAGGAGAAAGAUUACCACUGAGGCAAGAUUGGAAAAGAGUAUAAAAUACUUUGUAUCAUCUUUAAAUCCUUGCUAGUAUAAUUUUAAAAUGUUGCAUAACAAUCCAUUUUAUGGUGUUACCAUGAUUUACUUAGUCAUGUCCUCAGUGAUCAUCGUAAAUUUAUCCUGGUAUAUAAAUAUUUACCAGUUUAAGCUCUAACUCAGCAUAGAGUCUCAGAAGUAGAGUUUUAAGUCAAAAGGCAUGGUUAAUUCUAUGGUUCUUUGGGCAUAUCAUCAAACUGAUUUCUAGAAAUUUGCACCACUUGAUAUUCAAACCAGAACUGUGGUGAAGAUUAACAAACAUAAAUGACUAAGAAGAGAAAAGAAAAGUUACACCCAGUAUAUACCUACCGUUUGGGGCAUGUUGCUUUCACACACAUAUUGCAUUAUUUAAAGAUCACAGCUACUCUGUGGAAAGUUUUGUGGUUGAAGUUAAGACUUGAGAAAAUGCUUGAAUGAUGCAUAGAUUUGGAAAAGGUGAAAAGAACGAGGAAGUGCCUUCCAGAUGGCAGAAACUCCUGGAACACCAAGUUGUAAACAAAUAUAGUUCUGUGGUCUUUGAGGUGAGCCUGAAAUAGCACCGCUGCUCGCUCUAUGUGUUCUGAACUGAUCGAAAUAUAUGACAGUAGUAAAGCAGAGGGAAACAAAAAAUGCUCCUUAGUGGUUAAGGGUUUUCUAAAGUGAAAAUCCCCAAAUUGGUUAGCAAAGAUCAGCCUUCCCAUUGCAUCGCGCCUCACUCUACUACGGCUUCAUUUUGGGCAGGUAGGCUUGUUCACAAGGGAGGAGACAGGAGCCUGAAUGGGGGUGCCUAAUUUUUCUUUCCAAUCUCAGAAAUGGUAAAUUAUCCCUCACCAGGAAAAAGAAGUGAGUGAGAGGGUGAAGAAAGGCUGAGAUUCCUAAAGCUAGAAGAGUUCCCUCCCCAAGGAAGACAAAUUUGGCAGUAGAGAAUGAAUGGUUUACCUUUGACAACAGGGCAUGUUGAGAACAGUGCAAGGACCAGCCUGGUUCAGUUUUACAUUGGGAAUCAAUAUAAGGUUGAUUAUGGCCCAUCUAAAGUGUCACGCUGGGGUGACAGCUGUUGCCUUUGGGAACCUUGAUGAUUCUGAGCAGUAGAGACAUAGCAUGACCUUUCUCUCUCCUCCAUAUUGUAAUUAUCCCUUUUGGCUGGUCAGGUUAUUGAAUUUCACACCAAUGGAGAUGGAGAAAGAUGCAACGUCUUAAAUAGCAAUUCUAGUUUUUCUUGGACUAUAUCCUUCCUUCCAGUGGCGAUCUGUCUUCCACUAUGUUCUUCUGUGGUGGGCCAAAAUCAACUAAACAAAAAUUGGCAAUUAAAUAAUUCCAUUAUGGAAGUCAUUCUGAAAACAUGGCUCAGAAUUAUGACUCAUCAGUGGCCAGAGACAAGGUAAUAAAAUUAUUUAGUUUAAUCUGUAGUGUGAGGUGGGCAGGUUGACUUUUGUGCCAAAUCAUUACUCUUUUGCUCACUACCAACCUCCCUCUCUGAAAAGAGAUAAUUCUAUGCACAAUUCAAGGUCACAUACAGGUCAGAGAUUAGGAGCACGGCUUAUGCCAUUCGAGCAGGAGAAUGAUGAUACUUAUGGAAUGAAAGGAAAGUGAUGUCCACUGUAACUUUUUGGUUAAAAGAUAAAGUUCUGGAGGUCCUGUCAUGGCGCAGCAGAAAAUGAAUCCGACUAGGAACAAUGAGGUUGUGCAUUCAAUCCCCGGCCUCGUUCAGUGGGUUAAGGAUCCGGCAUUGCUGUGAGUUGUGGUGUAGGUCACAGAUGUGGCUCGGAUCCAGCGUUGCUGUGGCUCUGGUGUAGGCCAGUGGCAAAAGCUCAGAUUAGACCCCUAGCCUGAGAACCUCCAUAUGCCACAGGUGCGGCCC